RNAcentral lists this transfer RNA (49 nucleotides) under Cyrtodactylus jaegeri. RNAcentral describes it as "partial tRNA-Tyr". Lineage: Eukaryota; Metazoa; Chordata; Lepidosauria; Squamata; Gekkonidae. The record is from RNAcentral.
GAGCAGGUGGCGAGCUGUAGACUCGUUUACGGGGCAGUGCCCCCCCGAC